AUUAAUUCUUGAUUGUGUAAUAUCUCUAGCUUUGUUUUCUAUAGAGUUAUAAGUGAUUGUUUAGAAUUUGCUUAGCUUCUUCUCCAUUCUUACCAUACACAUAGAUUAAAAUUGAUCAUACAACUAUAAGUUAAUUUUAGAUCAAUUGCACCCUAAGGCCAUAGUAUAAUUGCUCUAGCUUAAUUUUCCACUACUUUACUUGUAAUUGCCUAGAGCUUAAGUAAAUAACAUCUUAUCAUUCCGCUGCAUUCAAUUUAAAGUAAAAAUUAGGGAACAUAAUUUUUAGAAAACCCAAUUCACCCCCUCUCUUGGGUUGUCACCUUGGGCAACAAGUGGUAUCAGAGCAGGUGCUCUUCUAUUAAUUAUAGUCUUAACCGACUAGAGCUAAAGAUUAUGACAACCCCACAUA
Molecule: long non-coding RNA, 409 nt
Filed under: Phoenix dactylifera (date palm)
Lineage: Eukaryota; Viridiplantae; Streptophyta; Magnoliopsida; Arecales; Arecaceae
Description: long non-coding RNA (PDAC_LNC016348)
Source: RNAcentral